RNAcentral lists this ribosomal RNA (2284 nucleotides) under Salmonella enterica subsp. enterica serovar Typhimurium. RNAcentral describes it as "partial 23S ribosomal RNA". It matches the Rfam family "Bacterial large subunit ribosomal RNA", at positions 1 to 2215 of the family's 2925-position model. The record is from RNAcentral. Lineage: Bacteria; Pseudomonadati; Pseudomonadota; Gammaproteobacteria; Enterobacterales; Enterobacteriaceae.
GGGUUGUGAGGUUAAGCGACUAAGCGUACACGGUGGAUGCCCUGGCAGUCAGAGGCGAUGAAGGGCGUGCUAAUCUGCGAUAAGCGCCGGUAAGGUGAUAUGAACCGUUAUAACCGGCGAUACCCGAAUGGGGAAACCCAGUGUGAUUCGUCACACUAUCAUUAACUGAAUCCAUAGGUUAAUGAGGCGAACCGGGGGAACUGAAACAUCUAAGUACCCCGAGGAAAAGAAAUCAACCGAGAUUCCCCCAGUAGCGGCGAGCGAACGGGGAGGAGCCCAGAGCCUGAAUCAGCAUGUGUGUUAGUGGAAGCGUCUGGAAAGGCGCGCGAUACAGGGUGACAGCCCCGUACACAAAAGCGCAUGUGCUGUGAGCUCGAUGAGUAGGGCGGGACACGUGGUAUCCUGUCUGAAUAUGGGGGGACCAUCCUCCAAGGCUAAAUACUCCUGACUGACCGAUAGUGAACCAGUACCGUGAGGGAAAGGCGAAAAGAACCCCGGCGAGGGGAGUGAAAAAGAACCUGAAACCGUGUACGUACAAGCAGUGGGAGCACCCUUCGGGGUGUGACUGCGUACCUUUUGUAUAAUGGGUCAGCGACUUAUAUUCUGUAGCAAGGUUAACCGUAUAGGGGAGCCGGAGGGAAACCGAGUCUUAAUUGGGCGUUAAGUUGCAGGGUAUAGACCCGAAACCCGGUGAUCUAGCCAUGGGCAGGUUGAAGGUUGGGUAACACUAACUGGAGGACCGAACCGACUAAUGUUGAAAAAUUAGCGGAUGACCUGUGGCUGGGGGUGAAAGGCCAAUCAAACCGGGAGAUAGCUGGUUCUCCCCGAAAGCUAUUUAGGUAGCGCCUCGUGAAUUCAUCUCCGGGGGUAGAGCACUGUUUCGGCUAGGGGGCCAUCCCGGCUUACCAACCCGAUGCAAACUGCGAAUACCGGAGAAUGUUAUCACGGGAGACACACGGCGGGUGCUAACGUCCGUCGUGAAGAGGGAAACAACCCAGACCGCCAGCUAAGGUCCCAAAGUCAUGGUUAAGUGGGAAACGAUGUGGGAAGGCCCAGACAGCCAGGAUGUUGGCUUAGAAGCAGCCAUCAUUUAAAGAAAGCGUAAUAGCUCACUGGUCGAGUCGGCCUGCGCGGAAGAUGUAACGGGGCUAAACCAUGCACCGAAGCUGCGGCAGCGAACGUAUCACCCAAGACAACUUUACGGAGUUGACGAUUGACGGAGCGAAGCGACGUCAAAGCGUUCAUUAAAGUCGAGUUGGCUUAGGGAUACGUUCGUUGGGUAGGGGAGCGUUCUGUAAGCCUGUGAAGGUGUGUCGUGAGGCAUGCUGGAGGUAUCAGAAGUGCGAAUGCUGACAUAAGUAACGAUAAAGCGGGUGAAAAGCCCGCUCGCCGGAAGACCAAGGGUUCCUGUCCAACGUUAAUCGGGGCAGGGUGAGUCGACCCCUAAGGCGAGGCCGAAAGGCGUAGUCGAUGGGAAACGGGUUAAUAUUCCCGUACUUGGUGUUACUGCGAAGGGGGGACGGAGAAGGCUAUGUUGGCCGGGCGACGGUUGUCCCGGUUUAAGCGUGUAGGUGUGUGUUCCAGGUAAAUCCGGUUCACUUUAACACUGAGGCGUGACGACGAGGCACUACGGUGCUGAAGCAACAAAUGCCCUGCUUCCAGGAAAAGCCUCUAAGCAUCAGGUAACAUCAAAUCGUACCCCAAACCGACACAGGUGGUCAGGUAGAGAAUACCAAGGCGCUUGAGAGAACUCGGGUGAAGGAACUAGGCAAAAUGGUGCCGUAACUUCGGGAGAAGGCACGCUGACACGUAGGUGAAGUGAUUUACUCAUGGAGCUGAAGUCAGUCGAAGAUACCAGCUGGCUGCAACUGUUUAUUAAAAACACAGCACUGUGCAAACACGAAAGUGGACGUAUACGGUGUGACGCCUGCCCGGUGCCGGAAGGUUAAUUGAUGGGGUCAGCGCAAGCGAAGCUCCUGAUCGAAGCCCCGGUAAACGGCGGCCGUAACUAUAACGGUCCUAAGGUAGCGAAAUUCCUUGUCGGGUAAGUUCCGACCUGCACGAAUGGCGUAAUGAUGGCCAGGCUGUCUCCACCCGAGACUCAGUGAAAUUGAACUCGCUGUGAAGAUGCAGUGUACCCGCGGCAAGACGGAAAGACCCCGUGAACCUUUACUAUAGCUUGACACUGAACAUUGAGCCUUGAUGUGUAGGAUAGGUGGGAGGCUUUGAAGUGUGGACGCCAGUCUGCAUGGAGCCGACCUUGAAAUACCACCCUUUAAUGUUU